This 20-nucleotide small nuclear RNA is filed under the name Arabidopsis thaliana (thale cress). RNAcentral describes it as "snRNA_09701". The record is from RNAcentral. Lineage: Eukaryota; Viridiplantae; Streptophyta; Magnoliopsida; Brassicales; Brassicaceae.
UGGUUCAGUUACCAAUACUA